Molecule: long non-coding RNA, 139 nt
Organism: Populus euphratica (Euphrates poplar)
Lineage: Eukaryota; Viridiplantae; Streptophyta; Magnoliopsida; Malpighiales; Salicaceae
Exons: 2
Source: RefSeq, a predicted model, not a curated record
CUGAGGAGUCAGAACCUCCCAACAGAGAAUUGAACCUUCUAACACUUUCACAAAGUACAUUUAAGUGAGUUAAAAGAAAGAGGAGGUAAAGAACCAUAUUGCAAGUCAUAUAAUAAGGUGGAAGCUAGCCACAUCCUAA